UACGUAGGGUGCAAGCGUUGUCCGGAAUUAUUGGGCGUAAAGAGCUCGUAGGCGGUUCGUCGCGUCGGCUGUGAAAUCCCGGAGCUCAACUCCGGGUCUGCAGUCGAUACGGGCGGACUUGAGUACUGCAGGGGAGACUGGAAUUCCUGGUGUAGCGGUGAAAUGCGCAGAUAUCAGGAGGAACACCGAUGGCGAAGGCAGAUCUCUGGGCCGUAACUGACGCUGAGGAGCGAAAGCAUGGGGAGCGAACAGG
RNAcentral lists this ribosomal RNA (253 nucleotides) under uncultured bacterium. RNAcentral's name for it is "partial 16S ribosomal RNA". It matches the Rfam family "Bacterial small subunit ribosomal RNA", at positions 524 to 776 of the family's 1533-position model. The record is from RNAcentral.